This 254-nucleotide ribosomal RNA is filed under the name uncultured bacterium. RNAcentral's name for it is "partial 16S ribosomal RNA". It matches the Rfam family "Bacterial small subunit ribosomal RNA", at positions 524 to 776 of the family's 1533-position model. The record is from RNAcentral.
UACGAAGGGGGCUAGCGUUGCUCGGAAUCACUGGGCGUAAAGCGCACGUAGGCGGACUCUUAAGUCGGUGGUGAAAUCCUGGAGCUCAACUCCAGAACUGCCUCCGAUACUGGGAGCCUUCGAGUCCGGGAGAGGUGAGUGGAACUGCGAGUGUAGAGGUGAAAUUCGUAGAUAUUCGCAAGAACGCCAGUGGCGAAGGCGGCUCACUGGCCCGGUACUGACGCUGAGGUGCGAAAGCGUGGGGAGCGAACAGG